RNAcentral lists this ribosomal RNA (253 nucleotides) under uncultured bacterium. Its description in RNAcentral is "partial 16S ribosomal RNA". It matches the Rfam family "Bacterial small subunit ribosomal RNA", at positions 524 to 776 of the family's 1533-position model. The record is from RNAcentral.
UACGGAGGAUGCAAGCGUUAUCCGGAUUUAUUGGGUUUAAAGGGUGCGUAGGCGGCUUUUUAAGUCAGUGGUGAAAUCCUGUCGCUCAACGAUAGAAUUGCCAUUGAUACUGACAAGCUUGAGUACAAUUGAGGUAAGCGGAAUGUGUAGUGUAGCGGUGAAAUGCUUAGAUAUUACACAGAACACCAAUUGCGAAGGCAGCUUACUAAACUGUUACUGACGCUGAUGCACGAAAGCGUGGGGAGCGAACAGG